Molecule: ribosomal RNA, 426 nt
Filed under: uncultured Actinomycetes bacterium
Lineage: Bacteria; Bacillati; Actinomycetota; Actinomycetes
Description: bacterial SSU rRNA
Rfam family: Bacterial small subunit ribosomal RNA
Source: RNAcentral
AACGCGAAGAACCUUACCAAGGUUUGACAUGGACGGAAAUCCUCCAGAGAUGGGGGGUCCUUCGGGGCCGUUCACAGGUGGUGCAUGGCUGUCGUCAGCUCGUGUCGUGAGAUGUUGGGUUAAGUCCCGCAACGAGCGCAACCCUCGUCCAAUGUUGCCAGCGGGUCAUGCCGGGGACUCAUUGGAGACUGCCGGGGUCAACUCGGAGGAAGGUGGGGAUGACGUCAAGUCAUCAUGCCCCUUAUGUCUUGGGCUGCAAACAUGCUACAAUGGCCGGUACAAAGCGCUGCGACACCGUGAGGUGAAGCGAAUCGCAUAAAGCCGGUCUCAGUUCGGAUCGGGGUCUGCAACUCGGCCCCGUGAAGCCGGAGUCGCUAGUAAUCGCAGAUCAGCAACGCUGCGGUGAAUACGUUCCCGGGCCUUGUA